AAUCAACGCUGGCGGCGUGCCUAACACAUGCAAGUCGAACGCGAAAGCCCUUUCGGGGGUAAGUAGAGUGGCGUCCGGGUGAGUAACACGUAGGUAAUCUGCCUUCGGGUGGGGAAUAACCAGUCGAAAGAUUGGCUAAUACCGCAUAAUGCAGCGGCACCUAAUGGUGAUUAGUUGUUAAAGCGGGGGAUCGUAAGACCUCGCGCCUGAAGAGGAGCCUGCGGCAGAUUAGCUAGNGGUGAGGUAAUGGCUCACCAAGGCUUCGAUCUGUAGCUGGUCUGAGAGGACGGCCAGCCACACUGGCACUGACACACGGGCCAGACUCCUACGGGAGGCAGCAGUGGGGAAUUUUGGGCAAUGGGCGCAAGCCUGAUCCAGCCAUGCCGCGUGAGUGACGAAGGUCUUCGGAUUGUAAAGCUCUUUUGGCGGGGAAGAUAA
This 438-nucleotide ribosomal RNA is filed under the name uncultured bacterium. Its description in RNAcentral is "bacterial SSU rRNA". It matches the Rfam family "Bacterial small subunit ribosomal RNA", at positions 32 to 451 of the family's 1533-position model. The record is from RNAcentral.